RNAcentral lists this ribosomal RNA (253 nucleotides) under uncultured bacterium. Its description in RNAcentral is "partial 16S ribosomal RNA". It matches the Rfam family "Bacterial small subunit ribosomal RNA", at positions 524 to 776 of the family's 1533-position model. The record is from RNAcentral.
UACGGAGGGUGCAAGUGUUAAUCGGAAUUACUGGGCGUAAAGCGCACGCAGGUGGCUGAGUCAGUCGAUUGUGAAAGCCCUGGGCUUAACCUGGGAAUUGCAGUCGAUACUACUCGGCUCGAGUAUGGGAGAGGGAAGUGGAAUUUCCGGUGUAGCGGUGAAAUGCGUAGAUAUCGGAAGGAACAUCAGUGGCGAAAGCGACUUCCUGGACCAAUACUGACGCUCAUGUGCGAAAGCGUGGGGAGCAAACAGG